GGUUAAGCGACUAAGCGUACACGGUGGAUGCCCUGGCAGUCAGAGGCGAUGAAGGACGUGCUAAUCUGCGAUAAGCGUCGGUAAGGUGAUAUGAACCGUUAUAACCGGCGAUUUCCGAAUGGGGAAACCCAGUGUGUUUCGACACACUAUCAUUAACUGAAUCCAUAGGUUAAUGAGGCGAACCGGGGGAACUGAAACAUCUAAGUACCCCGAGGAAAAGAAAUCAACCGAGAUUCCCCCAGUAGCGGCGAGCGAACGGGGAGGAGCCCAGAGCCUGAAUCAGUGUGUGUGUUAGUGGAAGCGUCUGGAAAGGCGCGCGAUACAGGGUGACAGCCCCGUACACAAAAAUGCACAUG
Molecule: ribosomal RNA, 356 nt
Filed under: Escherichia coli
Lineage: Bacteria; Pseudomonadati; Pseudomonadota; Gammaproteobacteria; Enterobacterales; Enterobacteriaceae
Description: partial 23S ribosomal RNA
Rfam family: Bacterial large subunit ribosomal RNA
Source: RNAcentral